Leucoraja erinaceus (little skate) is the source of this 7899-nucleotide RNA transcript. It is a transcript of the gene named splicing factor SWAP, with no coding region annotated. Lineage: Eukaryota; Metazoa; Chordata; Chondrichthyes; Rajiformes; Rajidae. The transcript is spliced from 19 exons. The record is from RefSeq and is a predicted model, not a curated record.
CCAGCGGCGGCACCAGACAACAGGGCGGGCGGGCCCACAGCACAGGCCCAGGCUCCGGUCCACAGCACAGGCCCAGCGCGGCACCGGCUCAGGCCCGGGAGGAGAAGGAGCGGCAGUGGUCCCGCCUCACACACAGCACCGGACUAGGCCCAGGCCCAGGCCCAGCGGGGCCGGGAGUAGUAGCGGACAGUCCAAGGAGCUCAGGCCCAGGCUCCGACACUGGCUCAGGUGGAGCCGCGGCACCGGCACCGGACAACAGGGCGGGCCCACAGCACAGACUCAGGCCCAGGCGGGGCCGGGAGUAGCGGCGGACAGUCCAAGGAGCUCAGGCCCAGGCGGAGCGGCGGCACCGGCGGCACCGGCGGCAGCAGCGGACCAUGGCCCAGGCCCGGGCCUACCCGAGUCACCGGCAGCGGAAGCAGGAGGACGGGGCAGCGACGGCGGCGGCGGCGGGGGGUCCCGGGGCCGGCGCGGAGCUGCUGGUUUUCGGCUACGCCUGCAAGCUGUUCCGUGAGGACGAGCGGGCGCGCUUCAUGGAGCAGGGCCGCCAUCUCAUCCCCUGGAUGGGAGACCAGGAGCUGCUAAUCGACAGGUACGAUUGCCGGGGUCAUUUACACGACCUCUCAGAAUGUGAUGCUGAGUACACCUGGAACAGAGAUUACCAGUUGUCAGAAGAAGAAGCGAGGAUCGAUGCUCUUUGCGAUGAAGAGAGGUAUUUAGCCUUGCAUACGGACUUGCUUGAGGAAGAGGCAAGGCAAGAGGAGGAAUAUAGACGUCUGAGUGAGGCACUGGCAGAGGAUGGCAUCUACAAUGCAGUCGGGUUUGCUUACAAAAGUGAUUACUAUGACCCAUCUCAGCCCACAGAGGAAGAGGAGCUUGCUAAAUCAGAAGCAGCUGCGAUGGAAGACAAUGCGGAAGAGAAUGAGGAGCCAUACACUGCUCCCAGUGGGCUGCUUGUGCCUUCUGAUGUCGAAGUUCCCGCAACAUCCAAAAUGCACGCCAUCAUUGAACGCACAGCAAAAUUUGUCUGUAAGCAGGGAACACCAUUUGAGAUCAUGCUUAAGGCUAAGCAAGCCCGGAAUUCUCAAUUUGACUUUCUGUGCUUUGAUCACUACCUGAAUCCAUAUUAUAAGCACAUUCUCAAGACCAUGAAAGAAGGAAAAUAUAUCGCUCAAACGGAAAAGAAAAUAGAUGAGAAAAGGAAAUCCGUAACCGAGUCUGGUGAAGAAGAUGAUGAUGACAACGAUGGUUCUUACCUCCAUCCGAGUCUUUUUGCUACUAAAAGUAACUCCAGAUUGGAAGAGCUAACAAGGCCUCUGAAAGUGAUGGAUCCAGACCAUCCGCUCGCUGCUUUAUGUCGGAAGGUACAAGCAGAAGCCAAAAAGGAGCAAAUGCUGCGAGAAGCCAACAACGCGGAAGCUGUAGUAACAACAACAACAACAGCAGCAGCAACAACAGCAGCAACAGCAGCAGCAGCAGCAGCAGCAGCAGCAACAGCAGCAGCAGCAGCAGCAGCAGCAACAGCAGCAGCAGCAGCAGCAGCAGCAACAACUGGAGAAUGCACUGCAGAUUCAUCGGUGACAACUAUGUAUUAUGGAUAUUACAUGAUGCCUGAUGGUACAUACUGCCUCACGCCACCUCCUCCUGGGAUGGAGGUUGCUGGUUAUUACGGUAACGUGCCCUCAGAGGCAGCAACAUCAACUACGACAGGGACUGUGGCCACGGCAGCAUCUGACACCACACCUCCACCACCCCCGGAAGGGGACGGCAGCAAUAGCCAGGGAGCCUCUACCACAACCACAGUCAGUGCUACAACUGUGGUUCCUGUUAUCAUUCCUCCUCCUCCCGAUAUCCAACCAGUUAUUGACAAGCUGGCAGAAUAUGUAGCCAGAAAUGGAACCAAAUUUGAAACCAGUGUGAGAGACAAGAAUGAUACACGGUUUGAGUUUCUGCAGCCUUGGCACCAAUACAAUGCGUAUUAUGAGUUCAAGAAACAAUACUUCUCUCAAAAAGAAGGUUACAGUAUUCAACAGGACAUGGCAGCAUCAAGUACUGUCACUGUUUGUUCCGACACCAAUACUUCAGAUGCAAUGCAAUUUGAAGUACAGCAGGAGGUGACGAGCACAAGUUUAUCCAAUGCCAUGAUAACGCAAACAGACUGUGUCAGUUCUAUAGAUAAAGCCAUGAACGAUGGAAAACUUAUAAAAGCAUCUUUUGCACCAAUAAGCUUUGCAAUUAAGGCGAAAGAAAACGACAUGCUCCCUCUGGAGAAAAAGCGAGUAAAACUGGAUGAUGACAGUGAUGAGGAGCAAGAUGCACAGGACCCCACCAGCAGUGAAGCAAACAAAGACCCACCUACCCCCCUUCCUCCAGAGGAGAAGAAACCUCAGCUGACAGCAGAGGAAAUUGAGGCUAAACACGCCAAGCAGAGGCUGGAGGACAGGCUGGCAGCAGCUGCACGGGAGAAGCUUGCACAGGCUUCAAAAGAAUGCAAAGAAAGGCAACUGCAGGCAGAACGCAAGAAGAGAGCUGCCCUUUUCCUGCAGACCCUAAAAACUCCCAUGCCUUGUGGAGAACUGGAAACUACAGUCACUGACGAUACCUCCCACAACAUGCAGGUCACUAGUGAGAUUUCAUACAACGUUCCAGCUAUGGAAGUGAAGAAAUUCCGUCGUGUCUCAAUAAAAAAUGCAAGGAUUUCAAAAGAGAAAGAGAGGAAGGAAAAGGAAAAGGAGAAAGAGAAGGAAAAGGAGAAGGAGAAGGAGAAAGAGAAGGAAAAGGAGAAAGAGAAGGAGAAGGAGAAGGAGAAAGAAAAGGAGAAGGAAAGGGAGAAGGAGAAGGAGAAAGAAAAGAAGAAAGAGAAGAAGCACAGGAAGAAAUCGCGGUCAAGGUCCCAGUCGCGGCCCAGAUAUCGCCUGAGGUCCAGAUCCAGGUCGAGGUCACGGUCAAAAGCAAAACAUUCUCUGCCGAGUGCCUACAGAAGCGUCAGACAUUCAAGAUCAAGAUCGCCUCAUGGGCGAAGAGUUCAGUCAUCAGAGAGGCGACGCGAGGAGAGGGACAGAGACCGAAACGUCCCUACAGCUUAUCGAGUCGGUAACAGCUCAGAUAUAGGUGCCAGAAAGCGAUCAAGGUCUCCAUAUGAGAAGAAGAAGAAAAAGAGUUCAAAAUCUCAUCCGAAGUUAAAAGAAAAACCUUUACGUUCGCGUUCGAGGUCUUUAUCACCAAAAAAAUCCAGCAUGAAGUCUUCAACAAGAAGUUCUGCACAUUCGACUAGUUUGUCACCAGCAGAAAGCAGAGAUUCCAGUCAGGAUCAUUCAAGGGGGGACCUAGAAAGAAAGACUGAGAACUUGGAAAGAAAAUGUAGAAGAUUGGAUGUCAGACAUCGACACAGAGAUAUUGAGGAAUGCCAGCCUGUUCAGCACCAAACAUAACAUGCCAUGAGUGAGCCCAGGGAGACCUCAUCAUUGUGGGACAAAUAUCUCGAAAAGCUCAAGAAGCACUCCCAGAAGUUUGACCGUGAUGGGUCUUGGGAACAAAGCAGGUCUAGGGCUUGAGAAGUCCCCUGCGCCAUUUCUGCCAACUACUAUGGUACAGUGGACUGACUCUAAACCUACUGGUCCAACAUCAACUAUUUGGGCUCAUCUUUCCCACACUGGUUGGUGAAGGAGCAGACUGCAGCCAAUUUAUGUUCACGUCGAUUUUAAUCAGCAGAGCCAAACCUGUGGUCAAAUGAAGCAUUUUUGGCAUGGUGUAGCAUCAAGAUCUAUUAUCCCCCCCGCCCCCACAGUGAACAUGGAUGUGCAUCAUUACUAAACUGCCUUUUAUAUUAUUUGCCUUGCACGGACAAAAAAAAAAGUUGUGUUAGCUGCAAAUUUGCCCCUCGAUGUUUUACUAGCCCUGGUAGUCCGACUGAAGGGAAUUUUCCAAAUAACUCCAAUACCCACUAAAUUAGGGUCUAAGGUCAUGUAGCAAUCUCUCUGAAUGGCCGAUAUUAAAAAUCCCAGCUCCACUGGCAAGUUUCAAUGAAACCUGCCAGGUGAAUUUAAUUUUUUUUUCAUGUUACAGACCAGUCUGGUCUAAAAUACAAUGUACAAGACUUGUUCAUUUGUGUUAUACUUUUGACCCCAGAGAUUUGGAAAGGGAUAUUUGUGGUCUGUUCCUUCACAGUUUCAGCAGCAUGUGUGAGAUGUUUGCACUAGUGAGAGUGUAGUUUUGAGCUUAAUGUGCUUGGGCAGCUUGCUACUCACAGAAGUGGUUCUCAUUGCCAGCUUGGAGCAUUCCCGUCUUAGGUUGGAAAAUGUGAAGCAAAUUAAUGACACUGGGUUGUCUGUUUAUACCACUAAUUACAUAGAGAAGUAAUUCAGUCUAAUUACUUAUACUGUCUGCAAUCCUUGGCACAUUUCCAGGUAUAGUGAAGUUGACAAAAGCAGCAAGACAUAAAGAGAGCAAAACACAAAGCGCUGGCGGUACUCAGCGGGUCAAGCAGCUUCUGUGGAGGGGAUAGUCACGUCUGAAGAAAGGACCCAACACAAAAUGUCUGUCCCUCUCCCUCCACAGAAGCUGUCUGACCCGCUGGGUUUUGCUCAAGAUUCCAACAUUUGCAGUUCCUUGUGUCCACACAGAAGAAGAACCAUGUUGCUUAGGUGCAGGGCAAGGUUUGACCAGAUGGAAGAAUGCAGUGUCUUCCCACAAGCUGAAGAUAGACACAAAGCUGGAGUAACUCAGCGGGUCAGACUGCAUCUCUGGAGACAAGGAAUAGGUGCCCUCCCCACAGGCUCUUUGGUUAAGAAUAGUUGGACACCAUACAUUACCUUAGUGUCAAAGUGAUAGACACUUGAUCAGAAUGACACCCUGGAAGAAUUCAGUUUAUAUAGUUGUGGAGUGUGAGGAAUGGCGUUGUCUGAGCCAGCAUGCACAGUUCCCAGUUGAUAGUGGCGAUGAUGUGUUUUGGUGUCCUUCAUCCACCCUGGUUCUUUCAGAUAUUUCACUGUAUCAUACCGUGAUAUUAACAGCAGCAUUGUGUAGGAAAGUCACAGCAGAUGUUGGUUUAAACCGAAGAUAGACACUAAAAGCUGGAGUAACUCAGCGGGACAGGCAGCAUCUCUGGAGAGAAGGAAUGGGUGACGUUUUUGGGGACGAGAUCCUUCUUACCCGAAACGUCACCCAUUCCUUCUCUCCAGUGUCCCGCUGAGUUGAUAGCGGCAUUGUUUGAUGUGCAAUCCUGAAGCUAAAUUUCAAGCUUGCUUUGCUCCUCAGAUGAUGCGUGCCUAGUAGCAUUGAGCCUGGUGCUGCGGGUGACUAGUGUUUCCCAGUGCAGGCAGACUGUCACUGACAGCCAGGUGACUAGCACAUGUUGCUGAUUGGUGGUGGGCAACGGUGGAGAAGCUAAUUGACCGUUUCCAUAUAGGCCUUUCUGUUAGAACACUUUUAUUGGGUUGGGCUACCUUUCCCCAUUUACCUUGGGCCAACGGAAUCAAGGGAUAUGGGGAGAAAGCAGGAACGGGUAAUGAUUCUGGAUAAUCAACCAUGAUCAUAUCGAAUGACAGUGCUGGCUCGAAGGGCAGAAUGGCCUACUCCACCUAUUUUCCAUGUUUACCCGCCAAUAUCAUCAAAAGAUUGUGCAGAACUUAGUUUUCUCCAGCAUUAAUACAGUACUUGAUUUGCAUUAAUACAGUAUUUGUAUUAAUUAACAAGUAUUGCUAAUUAAUACUUAGUUCAGCAUGACUCCUGUUCAGCAACAAUUCCCAAGUCUUCCCUUCCCUUUGAAGGAGAAUGUUUUAAGAGCUUUGUUUACCCCGUACUAUCCUUUACCAGCCGCCUGCCCCCACACUAGAAGGUGAGGGAAGAGAAAGCUGUAUUGAUUUCCCACCCAUCACAAGGGUCAGAUUCUAACUCUAGUUCAGUCCAAGAACAAUGCUUGCAUUUUACUUUCCCAAUGACAAAGAUCAGUUCCCUGAAUUGAGAUGACUUCUGCGUCCAUUGCUGAUGGUACAUAUAUUAGAAAAGAGCAGCACAAAGCACCUCUCUUGACGUGGUGGAAGUUACAAUGCCCUUCAGCUGAAAACGGUGACCCUCCACAUACAAUAUUCCCAUUAUUCAGGGAUGUUUGACUUUGCAGAAUCAAAGCUGCCUCCAUACCAGCGUAAACAGCUGCAGUGGAAAAUUCUUUUUAUCUUUCACCCAUUCAUUGAGUGACUAUUCAUUUAAUUUACAUUUUAUGAAAAGAUAAUUAGUAGCCAGGCCACCUCACAGAUCUAUGUUUGUAGCUAGAGUCCCGGUUUGAGACUGGAAACUUUGUCGCACUCAUGUUUUGAAUCAUCGAAUUCAUUACACUUGAGGAAUGGCGAUGUAGAACUCUAGUGAGGUUGACGGAGACCAGACCUUUCCUGAACUCUCUUCAUGCUGCCCAAAUGAUUCAAGUUUAUCCAUUCCCUCAUCCCAAAUGAAGGGCAGCCUUUUACAGUCAUUAUCUAUUCUGAGCGCUGCUGGAUAUUGUGCAAAAGCACUUUAAGUGUUGCUGCCUCAGUAAUGGUGGGGAGUUUUGAAGAGAUAAAGUGCACCUACCUACCAGAUCUCAAGCCCAAAAUCAAGCGUUGAAGAUGGCACAUUCAGCACCACAUGGGACUCGCUUUGAAAGGUCACAAUUUGUUUGUUCAUGGAGGAUAAUGAAUUAAAUGAAUAAGUUAGCCUACCUCUGGUAGAGUCUCAAUUAUUUUGUUAAUUGCUUAUCCUCUGGCUACACCUCGCCCCCUUCCUCCUUUGUCCCCCUGAUCUGGGAGUAUGGGCUUGUGCUUUUUCAAAAUCAAAAUUAAAACCAGUAAUUAAUGAGCUGAUUUCAGCUGCAUUGCCACCAGAUCCUUAGUUUGCAAACAACUAAGGAAUGUUGCAGGGCAGAAUUGGGAUGUAAAGGAUGGGAGGGCCAGUUGGCCGUGAUAUCUGAUUGUAAGGGGACAUUGUCCCUGUGCUUUUGCUUCCCCCUCUAUCCGACUGGGCUUGUUCAUUGGUAUGUGAAGGAUAACUUCAUUUGAAGAAUGGAGAAGACCUUGCCAAAGGGGUGGCUCACAGGAAAAGGAUGAAACAGUAGCGGCAGAACUUCUAUCAACAGUGCAGAGUAAAAUAACUCAGGAUCUCAUGGCCAAAGUGAGAGCAAUGUUGGCUGCGUCAAAAGAUGUAUAAAUUGAAAAAGUUUGGAGGAAAAAAGUACCAGUGGGCACAGCAUCAGCGCGAGGAUCCUCAAUGGCUUCACAAGAAACGCGAGCUGCCUUGUUGCAAGAACUAAUUUAUUUAGACAAUUUGGGCAGCAUUCCACUUUGGCAUAAAGUUUUGUACAGCUCCUUUUGAUAAGUACAGUUUGAACCAAGAUCUUAAGUCUGUUCUGUUGGUGUUUUGCAAUUUCCUCUCCUGUUCUUGAACACAACAAAAUAUGCUUCUAGGGUAUCUGAGUACCACCACGUCUCUGAAAAUUUGGGGCUGCCCUUUGAGCAUUAAAUCUCGCUGCCUAUAAUCACUUGUGACAACCAGACAGGAGCUUGGAUUAUCCUUCUGUGAAGGAGUUCUACUAUUUGAUUUCUCAAAGAUGAGGUAACAUCCCAUUUUGUAAAUUUAAGGAGUUCUCUUGACGGCGGUCUUGGAUAACGGCUGGUUGGUUAGUGGGGUUUAUCCUUGGAGCGCUGUGUGCAUACGAGUCUAGGAAGAUGCGUGGUUGUGCAGCAAAACACACCCUCAGCGUUGCACACCAUGUCCUGCGUACCGCCCACUUGCAGAAGUGUUUGCAUUGAUUUAAAUCGCUACUAACAAAUUUACUUUGAUUUCAUACCCAGAAAAACUAUGUGAGUGGACUGUGGUAACACUUUAAACUACAGAUGCAAACUAUUGAAAUAUUAAAGAUAAUUUAUUUGU